This is a long non-coding RNA of Athene cunicularia (burrowing owl), 317 nucleotides long. RefSeq lists it as uncharacterized. The transcript is spliced from 4 exons. NCBI's taxonomy places the organism in Eukaryota, Metazoa, Chordata, Aves, Strigiformes, Strigidae. The record is from RefSeq and is a predicted model, not a curated record.
GAUGUUAACUGCUGUCCGCUAGCAGAUGGAAGGACUCUAUUACCAUGGUGAUGGAAAUAUCAUAAAAAAUAGAGACAAAUAACGUAGAAAUCAGGGUCCUUUUUAUACUCUGAAGCUCCUAAAGAACCUUAUCCUUCAUUGUUGCAGAUAAUGUUCAGAAUGUCCUAAGAAAACUCACUGUGCUAUUUACUCACCAAAACAGCACACCUGGUCUGCCGCUAUGCACAGACGUGACAGGGAUCACAUGCUAGGAACUCCCACCCACCCACAACCAGAACCACUCUCAUUUCUGUUUUCUUGAAAUAAAACCCUCUUCC